This is an RNA transcript of Dreissena polymorpha, 3936 nucleotides long. It is a transcript of the gene named transmembrane protein 181-like, with no coding region annotated. The transcript has 4 exons. The record is from RefSeq and is a predicted model, not a curated record. NCBI's taxonomy places the organism in Eukaryota, Metazoa, Mollusca, Bivalvia, Myida, Dreissenidae.
UUUAUUUCCAAACCUCAGAAAGAUACUGUUGAGCAGCAAACAGCAUAAAACCCGAACAUACUUCAAUUUCUUGCAGGCUUUCCUGGUUUAAUGCUGGUUGCAUAUAGUCAUUUUCACUUUACUUCUGAGUGGGGAAGGGUUAAAGGCAAUUGAAGACAAUAUAGAGAUUACGAGAUCUGCGACUGAAGUUUAUGACAUUGCUGAUGCUUAUAGUGCUCUCCAUCAGUAUAACCAUCACAGUAUUAAAGUUUGGGAGAGCUGCGUUGCAGGACAAUUUUGUAGCAGAGUUGUCUUCCCAUUACAAGAACUCAGCCGAGUUUGUCGCAUUUUAUGGUCUCCUUAACAUUUACAUGUUCACCAUGGCGUUUGUGUAUUCACCGACGAAUAAUGCAGUGUUUGAAACUCACUUCAAAGACAAUCCGGGCUUGUCCAUGAUGAAUGAUUCUGACGAGGAGGUGCAUUAUGGCUCGGAAACAGAAAGCGUAGGUAUGACCAGGGUUCGGCCGGCUGCGGUCGGUAAAUAUGACAGCGACUGAGACGACAGCCCACGAUUACAUUGUAGCCAUAACCACACUUCUGCUGGAGGAAACACAUUGGAACCAUGAUCUGGGAAAACAGGGUUUAAUGCAUGUGCGUAAAAUGUCCUCCCAGAUUAGCCUGUGCAGGCAGCACAGGCUUAUCAGGGACGACACUUUUCGCCUGAACUGGAUUUUCCCUAAGAAGAGACUUCCUUUAAACAGAAAUUACCAUAAAAGCGGAAAGUGUUGUCCCUGAUAAGCCUGUGUUGACUGCACAGGCUAAUCUUGGACGACACUUUAUGCACAUGCAUUAAACACCUUUUUUUAAAUGCAUGUGCGUUAAGUUUCGUCCCAGAUUAGGCACAUGUUUACUCGCAGGCUGUUCUGGUUUUAUGCUGGUUGCAAAAACCAUUUUCUAUUUGCUUCUUAUGGGGGGAAAGGGUUAAACUUUAUGAGUUAUUUUGAAUAAUUGAACAUAUUUCUAGAGGAACUUUAUAACACAAUUUCAUUAGAUUGUUAAAUUUGAAUUUGAAUAAAAUAAUUUUAUAAAACAUAUUAUUCAGAUUUUGUGUUUACAAUUCCAGCUACAUAUAUCGGUAUAUGAAAUGUGUUCAAGACACUGAUUACCAAUUCUGUAAGUGAUAAACAGAUAAGUUUCAGCGUACGCAAAAUGCUUUUUGUUUAAAUGACCACAUUGAAUCAGAGAUGUAGAUAACGUCUACGUCUCUGAUUGAAUUAUUAUUUAGGGAUAUAACUCAUUUGUUGUGUUGUAUAAAACACGCUUUAUUUCGUAAACCUGAGAAAAUUUUACAAUGAGUUCAGAUGUACCGGGUAUUUAUGUUUUUAUAUAAUUGAUUGUUUGAAAUCUAGAGUGCAAUACCCACCAAGCUUGGCUAUGUUUUUGUUAAGGAUUUUAUGUUGUGUUGAUUUUUUUUUAUUGAAAAAUAACAAAAAAAAUUUAAUUUGCAAAUCUUCCCGUUGAUUGUGUUUGGAUUAUUAUAAGCACUUUUUGUGCAUUUUGAUCAAAAUGUUGCAUCAUUAUCAUUAUAUCAUUAUAAUUUAAGGUGUGCUGAUCAAUACUAACAUAGUUGGUAUUUGCCCUGCACCUUUUCCAAAGCAUAUGUUUCCAAUGGCUUCUUGUACUAGGUUCUGCAGGCCCGCCUACAUUGUCUAAGCCUGCCUUGGAAAAGUGUUCGUAGGGUGAAUACUACCCAUUUAUGACUCAAAUAAUGUUAAAAUAGAAUAAAAAACUCGGUUUCUAAUAGCUUUUCCAACUGUAUUCAAGGUCUAAUACUGCAAUAUAACCUGAAAUACAUGAAAGAUAAAAAAAAACAACUUUUUAUUGAUAAAGCACUCGUAAGUGUAUUUCUUCUGUUUUGAUGCACAUGGAUUUAAUUUAUAUGCUUUAUUUGGAAGUGCAAAAGAAAGUAUAUGAAAUUUGCAUGGCAAAUCAAUCUUUGUUAUUUUAUUAUUAAAUGUUUAGUCUUAUAUACAAGAACAUAAUGUAACUUAUUGUUACAAGUUCGCUUCUAGCCAUUAUUGAGUUUUUGAUGUGUGAAAUGACAUGUAAUGUACACAAAGUGUGUUGCUUUUAAAAGUACCCUGCUUUUGUUAAACAAAUGAGCCACGCUCUAAGAAAAGGGGGUUAAAUGCAUGUGUGUAAAAUGUCUUCCCAGAUUAGCCUGUGCAGUCCACACAGGCUAAUCAGGGACAACACUUAUAUGUCUCCUUAGCAAAAAUGCAGUUUAGGUUAAAAGUUUAGUCCCUGAUUAGCCAGUGCGAAAUGCACAGGCUAAUCUGGAACGACACUUUAAGCACUUGCAUUAAACCCCCUUUUCACAGAGUGAGGCUCAAAUAUUUGUACUAUUGAGCCAAAAAUUGCUGUAUGAAUGUUUAUUUUUUAAACUGUUUAAUUUUUGAACUGUUUUAUUUUUUAACUGAAGUGUGUUUUAUUGAUUCUAUGAAAUGAGCAGUGAUAAUUUAUUAUUUAGGAAAUUUUGAACCAAUAACAUUUUUUAACAAAGCUCCAAAUGCUUUUCUUUCAUUUAAAUAGAAAAAAAAAUAAAUUGGUGUUAAAAAUAAUCUUUCUGUCAUGGUGGUUAUUAAAUGGUGUAAACAAAUUGAUAUAUUUCCCUAGUCAUUUUCUGAUUUUGUAUUUUCUUCUCAGAAGUGUUCAUUUAGUGCAAAAUUAGAUUACCAUUCAUGUACAUUCCAGGUUGUGUUGAGUGUUUGGUGAUACUAGAGUAAUGUUUUAUUGAAAUGUUGAAAAUCAUACGAGCCUGUCUAAAAAAUAUAAAUAUUCCAUUAAGUUAUUAUUGUGUAAAAAAAAUCCCUCAUAUUUUUAAACACAAUUUUGCCAAUAAAUGUAUAUUUUAUUCACAUCAAUAAACAUGGUAUAAUCACUGUUGUAUUAACAGUAUGUUAGUUUAAUUUCUGAAUUUAAUUUAAAAAUACUUCUUAUGGUUCAUCAGUUAGAAAUUACCAAGCAGUUGAUUAAUGUGUUUUUAAUGCCCUGUUUGAUGUUUAACUAUUAUUAAUUUGAAGGCAAUUAUAAUGUUGAUACAUUAUUAAUCUAAAGGCCAUGCUAUUUUUUGUGAUAAUGUAUAUUUUAUUGAUGUUGUAUGAGUUACAUACAAUUCUACCUUUGUAUGUUUUUCUGUUGUCUGUGAUGCUUUAUUUUAAUUCUUUUAUUUAUGAAUUCCAUAUGUUUGUGCAAUACUACAUAACAAAGCAUAAUUUAUUUUAUGUUUAAACACAAUUGUACAUAUAAAGUAUUUAUUUAAAUUAUGUUAUGUUUUUGUCCAUAGUGGAAAAUCACACACAAAAUAUGUGUGCCUGAAGUGGCAAAUUUUAGAAGUUCACAUUUUUUUUAUUUGUAUACAUCAAAAGUGUUUGGUUACACUGUAAUUAAUUGGUAUAACUCCUGUGCAGACAUGAUGUCAACAUAUUUAUUUUUUGUAAAUACUUAGUAAUAGAUUUUAAAGGUUGUGAUACAUAGGGUGUGCAUAUGUCAUUAUGUGUUCAGUUGACAUGUAAUUACUGCAUUUGUUUAUACAUAAUGAAUUAUGUAAAAUGAAUUUAUUGAUGAUUUUAAAUCAAUAUGAUUGCAUUGGCAUUGUGUGACUACAAACAAAUAGUAAUGCUCUAUAAUGAGUAAUAUUGUUUUCUGUUAUUGUUCAUGUGCUUAUUGUACUGAAACACAUGUUACAAUUUAAGCUCACCUGCUUUCCAAUGUGAAAUUAGUUUGUAUAAAGGAUUUAGUGCAAAAAAGUAUCUAAGUCGUAUUUAGAAAUGUUAAGCAGAAGCAACAUUUUCAAACAUUGCUGUAAAAACAGUUAUGUCUGUUUCAUGGUAUUGUACAAAUAUGUCAAUGAAAUUACUGUAUUAAAAUUUGUUCAUAUAAAAAAGUUUGACUUUU